This 600-nucleotide ribosomal RNA is filed under the name Bacillus sp. CH16a_1C. RNAcentral describes it as "bacterial SSU rRNA". It matches the Rfam family "Bacterial small subunit ribosomal RNA", at positions 50 to 632 of the family's 1533-position model. The record is from RNAcentral. Lineage: Bacteria; Bacillati; Bacillota; Bacilli; Caryophanales; Bacillaceae.
UAUACUGCAAGUCGAGCGGAUUGAUGGGAGCUUGCUCCCAUCAGUCAGCGGCGGACGGGUGAGUAACACGUGGGUAACCUGCCUGUAAGACUGGGAUAACUCCGGGAAACCGGGGCUAAUACCGGAUAACUCAUUUCCUCGCAUGAGGAAAUGUUGAAAGGUGGCUUUUAGCUAUCACUUACAGAUGGACCCGCGGCGCAUUAGCUAGUUGGUGAGGUAACGGCUCACCAAGGCGACGAUGCGUAGCCGACCUGAGAGGGUGAUCGGCCACACUGGGACUGAGACACGGCCCAGACUCCUACGGGAGGCAGCAGUAGGGAAUCUUCCGCAAUGGACGAAAGUCUGACGGAGCAACGCCGCGUGAGUGAUGAAGGUUUUCGGAUCGUAAAACUCUGUUGUUAGGGAAGAACAAGUACCGUUCGAAUAGGGCGGUACCUUGACGGUACCUAACCAGAAAGCCACGGCUAACUACGUGCCAGCAGCCGCGGUAAUACGUAGGUGGCAAGCGUUGUCCGGAAUUAUUGGGCGUAAAGCGCGCGCAGGUGGUUCCUUAAGUCUGAUGUGAAAGCCCACGGCUCAACCGUGGAGGGUCAUUGGAAA